UACCGCUGUCCUGGGUGCCUGGCAGAGCUCGUGCACUGGCAUCCAGAACAGCGGUAC
This 57-nucleotide microRNA precursor is filed under the name Gallus gallus (chicken). RNAcentral's name for it is "Gga-Mir-1663_pre stem-loop". Lineage: Eukaryota; Metazoa; Chordata; Aves; Galliformes; Phasianidae. The record is from RNAcentral.